UACGGAGGGUGCAAGCGUUAUCCGGAUUCACUGGGUUUAAAGGGUGCGUAGGCGGGCCGGUAAGUCCGUGGUGAAAUCCCCGAGCUUAACUCGGGAACUGCCAUGGAUACUAUUUGUCUUGAAUAUUGUGGAGGUAAGCGGAAUAUGUCAUGUAGCGGUGAAAUGCUUAGAUAUGACAUAGAACACCAAUUGCGAAGGCAGCUUACUACACAGUUAUUGACGCUGAGGCACGAAAGCGUGGGGAUCAAACAGG
Molecule: ribosomal RNA, 253 nt
Filed under: uncultured bacterium
Lineage: Bacteria
Description: partial 16S ribosomal RNA
Rfam family: Bacterial small subunit ribosomal RNA
Source: RNAcentral